This 943-nucleotide long non-coding RNA is filed under the name Homo sapiens (human). Its description in RNAcentral is "PREDICTED lncRNA (TCONS_00025435)". The record is from RNAcentral. Lineage: Eukaryota; Metazoa; Chordata; Mammalia; Primates; Hominidae.
GAGAUCAGCCCAGUCUCCAUGUGAUGAAGCAGAUCACAGAUCCUCCCCGGAUACACGUUUACCCCAAGAUGAGAGCAGGCUAAGAGCUGAGAGUGGAAAGAAUAUUGAUUGAACAUCUACUCAAGAACUGCAAAACAGAGAUUACCUGACCUAAAGAUGAAUCCAGGAUUCGGUGGUGCCUGUUCCAGGAACCUUUAGUGUGAAGGAUCCUCCAGAUACAAGGGAGCAAGCAAGUUGCACCCAACCUAAUAGUAAAUUGCAGGGACAUUUCCAUUCUAAGGAAGGAAUUUUUGUGUGUGUUGCAACUCAGCUUCUGCUCUGGCAUUUUGCUGUGCAUUUAUAUUGCCAAUCAUGUUGGAGAGUCCAUGUGGUGAUUUCUGAAAACGAGAUGUGAGAAAGAAGAGGAUAAUUUAAGUCUAGACCUACAGAUUGUGCUGAUAAAGUGAUGAAGAACUACAAUCUUCUUAGUCAUUUCAUUGUAUAAGUGCAAUAAAGGAUUUUGUGUCUUUCCUGGCAAACAACUUGUGACCACAGUGAUGGCUCCAGCAGAAUGGAAAAGACCCUUUACCUCACAUCUCAGAAGUAAAGAUGCUGAUUAUUUGACAUCGCCAUUGGAAUCUCAAAACAGUGUAAAGCAUUUGCUAAAAAGAGUCACUUUCUGAGAAAUGACUCAGAAUUCGACUUACGUACUAGCAGAACUUAUUGCCCAUAAAAGGAAAGGCCACACUUUUUGUGAAAACUUAAUAAUCCCUAGGAUGUAAAAUUAUACUGAGUUAAAUCCUAGUCCCAUUUUUAGUACAAGAAACUGGAAAAAAAUAAUCCACUCUCAAAUGGUAAGACAAAUUGAGAUAUUGCUGAAAAGCCUCUUGACCCUGAAAAGUUCUGAAUAAUAAACUGAUAAAAGCAGCAGCAGCAUCUAACUUGACACCAGUCAUGUCAUUUG